AUUGAACGCUGGCGGCAUGCCUUACACAUGCAAGUCGAACGGUAACAGGUUAAGCUGACGAGUGGCGAACGGGUGAGUAAUGUAUCGGAACGUGCCCAGUCGUGGGGGAUAACUGCUCGAAAGAGCAGCUAAUACCGCAUACGACCUGAGGGUGAAAGCGGGGGAUCGCAAGACCUCGCGCGAUUGGAGCGGCCGAUAUCAGAUUAGGUAGUUGGUGAGGUAAAGGCUCACCAAGCCGACGAUCUGUAGCUGGUCUGAGAGGACGACCAGCCACACUGGGACUGAGACACGGCCCAGACUCCGACGGGAGGCAGCAGUGGGGAAUUUUGGACAAAGGGCGCAAGCCUGAUCCAGCCAUGCCGCGUGCGGGAAGAAGGCCUUCGGGUUGUAAACCGCUUUUGUCAGGGAAGAAAAGGUUCUGGCUAAUACCUGGGACUCAUGACGGUACCUGAAGAAUAAGCACCGGCUAACUACGUG
This 477-nucleotide ribosomal RNA is filed under the name uncultured bacterium. Its description in RNAcentral is "partial 16S ribosomal RNA". It matches the Rfam family "Bacterial small subunit ribosomal RNA", at positions 30 to 507 of the family's 1533-position model. The record is from RNAcentral.